RNAcentral lists this ribosomal RNA (467 nucleotides) under uncultured bacterium. Its description in RNAcentral is "partial 16S ribosomal RNA". It matches the Rfam family "Bacterial small subunit ribosomal RNA", at positions 29 to 507 of the family's 1533-position model. The record is from RNAcentral.
ACGCACGCUGGCGGCGUGCUUAACCCCUGCAAGUCGAACGGAAAGGCCCUGCUUUUGUGGGGUGCUCGAGUGGCGAACGGGUGAGUAACACGUGAGUAACCUGCCCUUGUCUUUGGGAUAACUUCAGGAAACUGGGGCUAAUACCGGAUAGGAGCUCCUGCUGCAUGGUGGGGGUUGGAAAGUUUCGGCGGUUGGGGAUGGACUCGCGGCUUAUCAGCUUGUUGGUGGGGUAGUGGCUUACCAAGGCUUUGACGGGUAGCCGGCCUGAGAGGGUGACCGGCCACAUUGGGACUGAGAUACGGCCCAGACUCCUACGGGAGGCAGCAGUGGGGAAUAUUGCACAAUGGGCGGAAGCCUGAUGCAGCAACGCCGCGUGCGGGAUGACGGCCUUCGGGUUGUAAACCGCUUUCGCCUGUGACGAAGCGUGAGUGACGGUAAUGGGUAAAGAAGCACCGGCUAACUACGUG